GGGCAGGAUGGGUGAAGUAGGCCCACCCGCAAGCGGGUCGUCCUUCUUCACUGUCCCUUAUUCGCGCCGUGGGCACUCAACGGGAAUCCUGCCCUGCGGGGCU
Molecule: regulatory RNA element, 103 nt
Organism: Bordetella trematum
Lineage: Bacteria; Pseudomonadati; Pseudomonadota; Betaproteobacteria; Burkholderiales; Alcaligenaceae
Rfam family: traJ-II RNA
Source: Rfam